UACAGAGGUCCCAAGCGUUGUUCGGAUUCACUGGGCGUAAAGGGUGCGUAGGUGGUGAGGUAAGUCGGAUGUGAAAUCUCCGGGCUCAACCCGGAAAUGGCAUUGGAAACUACCUUGCUGGAGGAUUUGAGGGGGGAUUGGAAUACUUGGUGUAGCAGUGAAAUGCGUAGAUAUCGUAAGGAAGACCAGUGGCGAAGGCGGGUCUCUGGACAGUUCCUGACGCUGAGGCACGAAGGCCAGGGGAGCAAACGGG
RNAcentral lists this ribosomal RNA (253 nucleotides) under uncultured bacterium. Its description in RNAcentral is "partial 16S ribosomal RNA". It matches the Rfam family "Bacterial small subunit ribosomal RNA", at positions 524 to 776 of the family's 1533-position model. The record is from RNAcentral.